RNAcentral lists this ribosomal RNA (910 nucleotides) under uncultured bacterium. RNAcentral's name for it is "bacterial SSU rRNA". It matches the Rfam family "Bacterial small subunit ribosomal RNA", at positions 33 to 945 of the family's 1533-position model. The record is from RNAcentral.
ACGCUGGCGGCGUGCCUAACACAUGCAAGUCGAACGAGAUGCGUAUCGGAAAGCUUCGGCCGGAAGAUACGUUAUCUAGUGGCGGACGGGUGAGUAACACGUGGGUAACCUGCCUAAUGGAGGGGGAUAACAGAGAGAAAUCACUGCUAAUACCGCAUAAGCACACAGUACCGCAUGGUACAGGGUGAAAAGAUUUAUCGCCAUAAGAUGGACCCGCGUCUGAUUAGCCAGUUGGCAGGGUAAAAGCCUACCAAAGCAACGAUCAGUAGCCGAUCUGAGAGGAUGACCGGCCACAUUGGGACUGAGACACGGCCCAAACUCCUACGGGAGGCAGCAGUGGGGAAUAUUGCACAAUGGGGGAAACCCUGAUGCAGCGACGCCGCGUGAGUGAAGAAGUAUUUCGGUAUGUAAAGCUCUAUCAGUAGGGAAGAUAAUGACAGUACCUGACUAAGAAGCCCCGGCUAACUACGUGCCAGCAGCCGCGGUAAUACGUAGGGGGCAAGCGUUAUCCGGAUUUACUGGGUGUAAAGGGAGCGUAGACGGAAUGGCAAGUCUGAAGUGAAAUACCCGGGCUCAACCUGGGAACUGCUUUGGAAACUGUUGUUCUAGAGUGUUGGAGAGGUAAGUGGAAUUCCUGGUGUAGCGGUGAAAUGCGUAGAUAUCAGGAAGAACACCGGAGGCGAAGGCGGCUUACUGGACAAUAACUGACGUUGAGGCUCGAAAGCGUGGGGAUCAAACAGGAUUAGAUACCCUGGUAGUCCACGCUGUAAACGAUGAAUACUAGGUGUCGGGGUGCAAAGCAUCUCGGUGCCGUCGCUAACGCAAUAAGUAUUCCACCUGGGGAGUACGUUCGCAAGAAUGAAACUCAAAGGAAUUGACGGGGACCCGCACAAGCGGUGGAGCAUGUGGU